RNAcentral lists this transfer RNA (69 nucleotides) under Loxodonta africana (African savanna elephant). It matches the Rfam family "tRNA". Rfam says of the family: Transfer RNA (tRNA) molecules are approximately 80 nucleotides in length. Their secondary structure includes four short double-helical elements and three loops (D, anti-codon, and T loops). Further hydrogen bonds mediate the characteristic L-shaped molecular structure. tRNAs have two regions of fundamental functional importance: the anti-codon, which is responsible for specific mRNA codon recognition, and the 3' end, to which the tRNAs corresponding amino acid is attached (by aminoacyl-tRNA synthetases). tRNAs cope with the degeneracy of the genetic code in two manners: having more than one tRNA (with a specific anti-codon) for a particular amino acid; and 'wobble' base-pairing, i.e. permitting non-standard base-pairing at the 3rd anti-codon position. Lineage: Eukaryota; Metazoa; Chordata; Mammalia; Proboscidea; Elephantidae. The record is from Rfam by way of RNAcentral.
GCAGUGGUGGUUUAAUGGUAGAAUCCUCACUUUCCAUCAGGAGACCCAGUUCAAUUCCUGGCCAAUGCA